AACGAGCUAUGGUUUGACUAGUUCGAUCGGCCGGUCCGGUUUUCAAACACUGAUCUUUAAAAAUAUUGGGCCUUCUGAUUAAAUCUUUCUUAUUUUGGGGUCCAUACCAUUAAUGGGCUUUAAGAAUAAUAUGAAAUGUCGACGAGAAUGGAAAAACUAUUUCCAUUGUUGUCACAGCAAUGAAAAAAAAGAAAAGGGUCAAAAAGCAAUGAUCUCAAGAAUGUUUCUUUCCUUGGUUAAUAAUUGACAUCCAUCCUCGUCUCUCCCAAUCCCCUCAAUCUCUAAGCUGCUUCUCCAUUCUCCAGUAUUCCGGAACCUGGAUUACCUUCAAAUCUCCGAAAAAAUUUGCAGCAAAAUGGUCAUAUUCCCAAGUUUUUAGAUGAUUUCCAUUCAGUAAGCACCAUGGAGGGAAUCAACAACACCGAUUCCAGAUCGAAGUUGAAUGCAAACAACAUAUGAGGUGCUAAACAUUGAAGAAUGUUGCUUUGGUUUGAUUUUGUUACUUGUGCAUGUUUGAUCCAAGGUUACCAACAUUGUUUUAUUUCUAAAUCCAGAGUCCUUGGUUUGAUGAAAACCAAACACCAUUAAUAUUACAGACGGCUUUUCCAUCAUCCCUGUGCCAUUGGAUGGUCAUGCGAAUCUGGUGGAUCUCCAUCUGUAAACCAGAAAAAAAUCAAUUCAUAGUUGCAAUAAAGAAGCACACAAUCCAAAAGUUCAACAUAGAAGAAGACCAUUGUUCAUGAUUUUACAAGUUAAGAGACUAGCUACACUCUGAGCAAAGUGUUUGUCAGCAUUUUUCCCUGAUAUUGUAGGUUUAUGUUUGUAAUGGCCUUCCAUAUUAUCAUCAGAGCACAGAAUUGAACGGUAAAUAAAAGAUUAUUCUGAGAUUGCAAACAAAA
Molecule: long non-coding RNA, 899 nt
Organism: Brassica napus (rape)
Lineage: Eukaryota; Viridiplantae; Streptophyta; Magnoliopsida; Brassicales; Brassicaceae
Exons: 4
Source: RefSeq, a predicted model, not a curated record